GAGUAUAAAGGUGAUGUGGCUGCAACUUAGGUCAUUCCCCUUGAUCACUAGGAGUGAUGUGGCCAGCUAAGGAGUGUCUCUUUUCCUCCCUCACAGUUCCAAGUAUAUCCUUCCUGAAGCUGUGUGCUUUGUUAAAGAGGAUGGCCUUCCCUGAAGAGAGGAACACCAGUCUUCAAUUAAAGGUAUAUGAGUAACUACGCUCCCAUGUUAUAACAUCCAAGCAAACUCUCAAAGGUAUGUUCAAGAGUACCUCAAAGACUAUAAGAGUGGUUCAUGAAAUAUUCUGUACUAAGAAUCUACGCCUU
This 305-nucleotide small nuclear RNA is filed under the name Mus musculus (house mouse). RNAcentral's name for it is "7SK RNA". It matches the Rfam family "7SK RNA". Rfam says of the family: 7SK was discovered as an abundant small nuclear RNA in the mid-70s but a possible function has only recently been suggested. Two independent studies have found that 7SK RNA binds the CDK9/cyclin T complex (known as elongation factor P-TEFb). The record is from Rfam by way of RNAcentral. Lineage: Eukaryota; Metazoa; Chordata; Mammalia; Rodentia; Muridae.